Long non-coding RNA from Carassius gibelio (silver crucian carp), 1546 nucleotides. RefSeq lists it as uncharacterized. The transcript has 4 exons. NCBI's taxonomy places the organism in Eukaryota, Metazoa, Chordata, Actinopteri, Cypriniformes, Cyprinidae. The record is from RefSeq and is a predicted model, not a curated record.
AGCGAUGAACGGGCCCUCGCACCCGGGCUCACUGCCAUCGUGUGGCUUUAGUAAAAAGGUGAACGUUGAGAAAUAUGCAUUUAAACUCAUAAAUAUAAGUGCAAUAUAUCAAAGUUUAUUCCAUAUGUGUGCCAAUCUUCCUGUUGCCAGCAGGUGGCGCUAUCGUUAUAAUGGAAUAUUGGCCUUCAGAUGUGUUCAAGCCAGGACCCUUAUCACACAUGUGAAGUUUGGCCAAGAUCGGACAUUUUAUGCCUGAGUUAUAACAUCUUUUAUUCCCAUGGCGAGACAUCGAACUUCGUCAUGGCGACAUGGACAUGCCUUUUAACAAAAAUUCAAGAUCUUCACAACUAAACAUCACACAGGUCUUUAGAUUAGACUGACCACAAAAAAGACAUUGAUGUCAUAAAAUUUCUAGGAGUAGUUUGUCACAGUGUAAAAUAUGUCACUUCCAGUUGCCAAUAGGUGGCGCUAUGACUAUAACUGAAUAUUGGCAUGUAGAUCUGUUCAGGUGAAGAGUCUUAACAAAAAUGUGAAGUUUGGGGCGGAUUGGACAUUGUAUGUCUGAGUUAUAGCACCAUCAUUUUUCACGGCGAAUCAUCUAAAUUUGUCAGGCCGCCAUGGACACGCCCUUUAACGAAACCUCAAUUCCUUCGCAAUUUAACAUGGCAAAGGGCUUUAGAUUACACUGACCAAGUUUGGUGUUGAUCUGAAUAAAUCUCUAGGAGGAGUUCGUUAAAAUACAACCCCUGAAAAUGACAAAAACAACACCAAUUUUGCAGGGAAAAUUAAAAAUAACCGACUUCCUGUUGGGAUUCGGAUUUCGUACCAAGAGACUUUUUUGUAGCUAUUGGUGUGUUACAUAUGUUUACCGAUUUUCGUACAUGUAUAUGACAUGUAGCUCGAGGCGCACUCCAUUGAAAAUGUAUAGGUGGCGCUAUCGAGCCAUUUUGCCACACCCAAUGGAAUAUUAGCCUCCAGAUGUGUUCAGGUCAGUACUUUUAUCAAACAUUUGAAGUUUGGGCAAGAUCUGAUAUUUUAUGACUGAGUUACAGCAACUUCUACUCCCAUGGCGAGACAUCGAACUUUGACAUGGCGCCAUGGACACGCCCUUUAACGAAAACUCAAGAUCUUCUCAAUUUAACAUCGUAUAGGCCUUUAGAUUAGACUGACGACAAAAAAGACAUUGAUGUCAAAAAUUUCUAGGAGUAGUUUGUCGCAGCGUAAAAUAUGUCACUUCCUGUUGCCAAUAGGUGGCGCUAUGACUAUAACUGAAUAUGGUCGUGUCAAACUGUUCAGGACAGGAGUCUCAUCAAACAUGUGAAGUUUGGGGCAGAUUGGUCAUUGUAUGUCUGAGUUAUAGCAACUUCCUGUUUCAUGGCGAAUCAUCGAAAUUCGCCAGGCCGCCACACACAGGCCCUUCAACAAAAACUCAAAAGCUUCGCAAUUUAACAUCGCAAAGGCCUUUAGAUUAGGCAUACCAAAUUUGGUGUUGAUCUGAAUGAAUCUCUAGGAGGAGUUUGUUAAAAUACAAGGCAUGGAAAUGACA